Molecule: non-coding RNA, 7634 nt
Organism: Odocoileus virginianus texanus
Lineage: Eukaryota; Metazoa; Chordata; Mammalia; Artiodactyla; Cervidae
Source: RefSeq, a predicted model, not a curated record
UUUUGAUUUGCAUUUCUUGAAAGCAACAUCUUUUAUUAGAUAUGCUAACUGAAGAAAUUUUCUUUUUUCUGACUUGGGGUAUGCUGUGAAAGUUGUAAGAUAGAGUUGGGGUAGAAGUGGGAGAGUAGUGGUCAAGGUGAUGGUAAUGAUUGAACCAAACUCUGGACCUAUACAGGUCUGAAUUAAGCACACAGCCCCACCACUUCCUAGCAGCUGACCUUGGGUAACAUACUUAAGGCUGGAGACUGUGUUAUGUAUUGGGGUUAGUAACUCUUCCUCUCAUGGAUAGUAUAGAUGGGGCUCAGACGCUGCUCUUCCUCUCAUGUCAGCCUAUCCCUAGGGUGCAGGUCCUCAUCUCACUGCUGAAACAAGGAGAAGCUUGUUUUAAGCCACCAGCUUUAAGCUGUGGCAGAAAUCCAUCAGGAACACUAAUUCAGCAGUUGUUGGUUUAAGACAUACAAAUUGGUUUAAUUCUUAGGAAACUGCUUAUCAGGACAAAGAGAAAAAACAAAAGUGGUUGUCAUGUUGCUGGUAAGUAGUCUAUAUUUUGCUGUUCCACUUAUUAGUCAGGUGGUCUUGGACAGGUCACUUAUCCUCUCUGAGCCUUGGUCUCACCCCAGCUCCCCAUAUAGAGGUUGGGGAUGAUAACAUAGACCACACAGUAUGGUUGUGAGGUGAUGCAGUAUGUAAAGCCGGGCUGGGAACACAGGAGAUGUUCAGGAACCUUCUAUCUGACCUCCUGCAACAUGUCCAUGUUUAGAAAUGCCCUUUCAAUAACCCCUGGGGGGCAGAGAGAGAGAUCAUUCCACAGUGAUAACUCAUGGUAUUCUAUAUACUCUGCCCUUGCUUAUAUUCAGGAAAACACAUGCCAUAUUUACUUAAGAAGCUUCCUGACCUCUUUGUAGUUAUUAAAAGACCAGAAUGGAAAGGGAAAAUCAGAAGUUGUCCCUGAUUUAUCUGUGGCUGAAGGAGGAACUAGGGAGGUCCAGCGAGUAUCAUUAUUUCUUCCUCCAGGUGAACUGAUGAAGGCUUAGAAUAAAAAGGCUAUGUCAUGGCCUGGGUGGCCAAGCCUUGCCCCUUCACUUUCAUUAUAUAGUUAUCUGGUGUUUAAAGAGUGGUUUAAAGAUGGUUGACAGUCAUCAUGGCAACCAAGAAAAAAUGUAUGUGACCAAAAAAGCUACAUUUCAUUAAGUUUGGAAAAGAGGAAGUAUAUGUGUAGGAUUUAAUUAUUAUUUUUUAGAAAUUAAGGAAAAUCAUCCAUUCAUUCAGCCUUCGAAUAUUUAUUGACAGCUACGAUUGUGACAAACACCAUUCUAGGUACUGAGGAUACAAUGAUGGCUAAAAUAAAAAUUCCUGCCUUCCUUCAGUUUCUAUUUUGGUGGGGGAUGUAGAGAGCAAAUGAGAUAAAUUAGUAAGAUAUAUAGUAUACUAGGAAGUAGUUAGUGCUGAGGGGAAAAAUAAGGCAGAAAGGGGAACUAUAAAAUAUCAAGAGGAAUGUUAGACGGUGUCCAGGGAAAGUCUCAUUGAUCAGGUGCUUAAAGUAAAGACCUGAUGGAUCAGACAAACCAACCUGAGGAUGGCUGCAAACAGCUUUCAAGACAAGGGUCCUGAGAUGGGAGGCUACCUGGUGUACCUGAGGAAUGCCUGGAGGCCAGAGUGCAAGCUGAGCAGGGAGGGAAAGAGAUCAGGUCAAAGAGAAACAGGCCAGUUGAAUGGGGCCUGUAGACAUGGUAAGGACUUCAGCUUUCACUGGGAAUAAGAGGAAAAGCACCAGAGAGUUUGCGCAGAGGAAAGAUGUUAUACAACCAUUCUUACUGGGUGCUUGCUCUGUGAGAUUCUAUUUUAUUUUUUUAAUAUUUAUUUAUUUGACUGUGGCAGGUCUUAGAUGCGACAUAUAGGGGUCUCCAAUCUUCAUUUUUCGGCAUGCAAGCUCUUAGUUGUGGCAUGUGGGAUCUAGUACCCUGACCAGAGAGCCAACCCACGCCCCCUGCAUUGGGAGCAUGGAGUCUUAGCCACUGGACCACGAGGGAAGUCUGUAUUAGAUUUUGUUUUAAAUGCUUUAUUUGUAAUCCUCACAAUUAUCUUAUGAAGUAGGACCCACUAUCUUCUCAUUUUACAGCUGAGGAAACAGGGCCAGAGAGGUUAACUGACUUGCAUAAGAUCACACAGCUAGCAGGGAUGUGGUGAAAAUUUAGACCCUGGUCAACUCUUAACCACCUCAUUUUCUCCCCAAAUGCUUAAGAGAUUGAGACUGAGGUUUUGUGUUUUUUUUUUUCCAUUUCUUUAUAUCUGUAUUUCCAGAGCACACUAACAAUGAAAUCAUACUCAUUCAUAGAGAACUUCUUUGCUCAAACUGAUAAAUAUUCCCAAUAUUCUCCUUUAUGAUUCCAAGUUUUGUUUUGUUUUUUAAAAAAAAGCCUUCAAAUUAGCAUACUAACAAGCAUCUUGACAUGUCUUGCUUUAAUUAUGCAGACAGCAACUCCUUUUUUUGCUUCUAAUGUAGAGGUUGAUUGGGAAAAUUUUUAUUUUAUUGCUUACAAUCUUACCCUAGUGCUACCUAAAUCACUGCUUUAUGAUUUGGCAUCUAUAAUUUAUCAUUUUCCUCUGCUAUUAAAUGAAAUGCCCUUUAAAGCAUUCCAUAGCAAGGUGAACACAAGUCAAGCUUGCAAAGUUCUGGAAAAAAGAAUUGCAAAGAAUCAUUAAAGAAUAAUGAAAGUUGAUUUAAAUGGCAUACAAUAUCAGGGCUGCCCAGUUUAACAAAUAUAAUUAUUGCAAGUCAUUUUCAGAAGGCCUCUACAUUUCAGCAUCUAAUUUUCAUCAUCUUUUAAGGAAUAACAACAGAAAUGCCUUGCUGUUAUAAAGACUCUAAAAGCUGACUUUUUAUUUCAUUUCUCUGGAUUUCACUAAAGCUAAGCAUGAAACAAGAGACAGUUUAAAAUAUAGGAAACCCAGGUUCCUUUUACUAUUGUGUGGCUUUAACAUUCUACUGCUGUAGCCAAGAGUCCUUGGCUUCUGGGGCCAACUGUCUUUUGCAUGCUGAUUUUGCAGAGAGAGUCUCUCAGGAGUUAUUACUUUUGAGUAGUAUCUACAAUGACUUCAGUCUCUGCAGGAAGUGGAAGGCAGCAGAGUUUGGGAAUGAAAACACUGAGGGAGAAAUCUCUCCCGAUAGAAUCGUCAACUCAAUCUAAUUUUAGGUUUCAGGCAGACCACAUAGCUGUACCUUCAGCUACCUGCAAACAUAUGCGUCUCAAGUGCCCUCACUGAAGGACUGCAACCAGGACUUAAACAAAAAUAAUGAAGUUUUCUAUCAUAAUAUGUUUUAGUAAAUAGGUGAUGUGUGAGAGUGUGGGUGUGGGUUCACACACACAUGCAGGCAAACCAUGUGUGUGUACGCCACAUUCAAAUAGUGACAGCAUUCUGAAUAAGGGGAGAUGGUCCAGAAGGGUUUCUUUCUAUUUUUUAUCAACUCUUAUUUUUUUCUUUCCUGUGCUUCACAACCAAAAGGACUAGUAGUCCCAGGCUCAAGACCUCAGAAACUGUAUUAUUGAGUUAUGUGAAGCAGGAAUUUGAGACAUUUUUAGAAAUCACUUUUAUGUGGUAGCUAUUUUAAUAUUGAAACAACUAAAUCAAAGCUAAGAAAGGUCUUUUGAGAGGAAAUGGUUAAAAGGGCAUGUCUUUCCUUUUCUAAAAGGAAAACCACAGCAAGGAAUUCCAAUUAGGAAUAAAUUAAAGAGCACCACACUUUUCUGGAAGGGUCAGGAAGUCAAACUCUUGGCCUUGAGCGGCUUCUCACCCCCACCCCAGCGGACCCUGGGAACCAGUCACGCCCCGUCUCUGUGUGAGCUCAACACUGGCUGCCAAGUCUUGCCAUUCCUCUGCAGAAAAGAGCCAGGAUUUUCACCAGAGGCCUCCUGCCAGCAUCAGAAUCAGAAGGAGGUAGCCGAGGUGCCAGGGGGCUUUCUGGAGUGCCCCAAUGCCAGCUUUCUGUCUACAAAGGACAAUUCACUAAACUCGCUAAAGCCAAAUCUGACAUUUUAAAAAUGUCUCCGAAAUAAGCCUCGUAUGCUGUUUUGCUGCUAGAAGACCAGGCUCUCAUUUCCCAGAUUAUAUUUUCUUAAAUAGAAUUUCCUUAAAUUCGGCAGCACUUUUAAUCCAUGACACUCACUGGUAGGCAAGAAAAACAAUUCUGCCAUCUUCACAAUUGAUUUAAAGCUUACAGAUGUGACAUCUCCAUACAUUAUGUUGUGGUUAAUUGCCUUAUACUAAUAUCUGAGUAAUAUGUGUGUGUGUGUGUGUGUGUAUGAAUAUUGGUGUCAUGCUCAGUCAUGUCCGACUCUUUGAGACCCUAUUAGACUGUAGCCCACCAAACUUUUCUGUCCAUGGGAUUUUUCAGUCAUGAAUACUGGAGUGGGUUGCUAUUUCCUCCUCCAGAUAUAUAUAUAAAUGUUCUUUAGGUAACCUGUGUAAUUGACAUAUGGCUACUUGGGAAAUUGGGGCUAAAAGUGAGGUACCCCAAACAGCUGAAUUUGAUCAAGAUGCCAUGCACUCUUGACCUCUUUAAUAUGCUAUUUUGCUCUUUUGACAGCAUUCCAAAUCUGUUUGUCCUUCCAGGUCUAUCUCGGCUCCUGCUUUCAGCUCAGAUCCUUGCCUGGCCGUUUUAAUUCUCAUUGAGACCUCCCCUCUGGCACCACUUAAAGCCCUAUUACCUUUGCUGCUGCUGUGGCGUUUGGAUAUGUCAUAGUACACCAUCAUUUACUCACCAGCGUCCAAGGGCCAUGGGCUCUCUCUUCAGCCCCCGGCACAAUGCUUAGCCUGGUGCUCAGCGCAAGGGGAUGCUCCGUGGUACAAGUGAAGUGAACUGACUUAUAGCCUUUUUCAUCAUUUCCCCAAUGCUCGUAUCUAGGACUAACAUUUGCAUGAUUGCUCUUUAUUUCUCCAUUCAUUGUCUUAGUAACCAGAAACAUCUAGAAUGAGCUGCAAGUUAGACCACUCCUAGAAUAGAUUGGUCACCUGUGUCUUUUUGGCUUGGAUGUCACUGUUCCGAACAAUACGUGGAAAUGGGAGACAAGUUACAUCCCUUAUGAUUGCAGUCAAUGAAAAUAAAGAGAAAAAUAAAAUAAAAUAAUGGAGCAGAGAAAGAAAAUAUAGGAAAGAGUGAGAGGAAAAGAGACAGGGAAGAGGCAAAAAAAAAAAAAAAACCAACCAACCCACAAUCCUACCGGAUGAUGUAAAUACAUUCCCUCGUUUAAUGACAAAACCUAAAGGCUCCUUGCAAGUGUAUUUCAUGGGUGAUUACUUGAACAUCUUAAUCAUGUUUGCUCUUUUGGGAAAUUGUAUGCAGAAACCGCUGCCUUUCCAGUUUGAAUUAAGAAUAAACUGGAAAGGCAGUUCCUCUGGGAGAAAGGAAAAGCAAAGCCCGGGAACACUGGUGCACUGUAUGAGGCAGCAAGAGAUGACGACUCGGAAUCAGGCAGAGUUCUCUCUUCUGUGAUCAGCUUGCUCUGCCCUCAAUGAGUCCAAGAGAUUUCACAUUUUAUAGGUUGAGCUUCCCACUGGCAGCAACUGAAGCAGUUCAUUAUGCACAUCUGUCACGUGAUCCACUUCAUCAACCAAAUGGAACUGGGAGAAUAAGUCACCCUAACAAGAUCCUUCAGUACACUCUUAAAAACUACUUACAGAUGUACUCUUCCUCUGAGGGGAUACAAUGGGUUUCCUUGUACAGUGCCACACGAUACAGGAAAUGCAUUAUCCCCAUCCAAAUUCAGGCGUACCAGGAGGAAGCCUGAAAAGAAAGCAGCUCACAAAAGCACACACAGCUUUUGCAAAAGUCCUGAGAGGGGCUCAUACACCAAUUUAUGAUAACGGCAGAUAAAACCUCAAGCCUGUGAAGCUCAGUUCAUUGCAAAUGCUAAUGUCCACACAGGGAAAAGAAACCACAUCAGCACUCUGCAUCGACACAAAUGCUGCUAAUGCUUUUUAUUUAUGGUUGUCGCCGGUCCCCUCAGCAGUAUGCCAGAUAUCCAUUUGUGUGGUAACUUUGACUACUUUAUGUGCCUCCACGACUCACUGUGUUAUGUGCCCACAGGCAAUUUGUGCUUUCAAACUGUGUCUGGUGAGGCAAGCAGCCACACUGCUAAUCUUGAAUCAGGAACCAUCUUGUUCCCAUUCAGAUCACGUCAAACAAACACUUUUGUGGACACAUCCAGGAAUAGUUAACACCUGCCAUUGUGAAAUCUUCCUGUUUCAGUUGGGGUGAUCAAUUCAUCACUCAUUCAGUCAGGCAACAGAUAUUUAUUGAAUACCUACCACAUGCCAGGCACUGUUUCGGGCCCUGGAGAUAUAAUAAUGAACAGAGCCCUACCAUCAAAAAGAUUACAUUCUAGAGGGGGAUAGGAACAGACAGCAAAUAAAUAUGGAAUAUGUCAGAGGGUGUCAGUCAGGAUAGGCUAGUUGUUUUGUGGUUUUAAACAAGCCAAGUUUGAUGGCUUAAAAAAAAAAAAGUUUAUAUCCCUCACUUACACAGUGUAUUCAUCACCGACUGAAUGGACAUGAGUUUGAAUAAACUCUAGGAGAUAGUGAAGGACAGGAAGCCUGGCGUGCUACAGUCCAUGAGGUCACAAAGAGUCAGACCCGACUUAGUAACUGAAGAAGAACAACAUGGUGUGUUCAUUGCAGGGCAGCUGGGGUUCAGCUCCUUGCACCUUCACUCUGGGACCCAGGCUGCCUGGAGAAGCCCCACGUGGAGCACAGCCAAUCUCUGUGGGAGAGAGAGGAGACAGAGCAGUGAACGCCUGCACUGGCUUCCUCCUGAAAGCCACACAAGGCCCUUCCCCUCACACGGCGCAGGAGAGAGCAGCUUACGUGGAUGCACCCGACUUCAACAGGUAACAUACCUGCUUUGUACAACAACCUGUGCUGGACCACUGGACCACCUUCCUACAGAUCUUCAUCUCACCCAACCUGGGCUCUGAAAUAUCCUCUUCAGCCUGCCUGGAUGCCAACAUCUUGCACUAGGCUAUCCCUUUGAAGAACACGCCCACGCCCCUCGCCCCACGUGAGCUCUGAAACCUCCUGCUGAGCUAUCCUUCCCACCCUAAAUCCUCAGCCCACCUGGGCCAUCCCAUGCGGGGCCACCCUCUCAGCCUGUUGUGGCUCUGACGUGGAGCUAAGCCGAGCCUCUGUAGGAGUGGUCCUCUCCUCCUGCCUGCUUUUCUGGUGCUCUCAUUCUAUAAAGGUUUAUAUUAUCUGUGAGUAAUCACAGUGUUUCAAAAAUAAUAAUAAUAAUAAUAAUCACAGUGUUUCCUCAAACUAGAGGUCUGUGUAUGUAUUAUUGAUGAUCCAUCAGUAAUAACUUAUUUUUAUUUCAAUGAUGGUCUAAAAAACUUACAUUAUAAAAUAUAAGCAUAUCUGGGAUGUUCAUUUUACAACCAUAUUUAGUGUUGGUGCUUUGUGUUUAAAAUUGUGUUGGUACCACAUGAUUAUUAAUGUGGCAAUAUUUAACUUUUAAAGUGUCGGUAGUCUUUAAAUUGGCAUUUCUGGCAUCAAAAGGCAAAAACCAUCUUGAUUUCUGUUUGAUAAAAAUUAUAUUGAGUUAGCCUACCAAUUAAAAAGCUGAAACUGCUCUUUUUCAGUGA